Long non-coding RNA from Oncorhynchus keta (chum salmon), 1725 nucleotides. RefSeq lists it as uncharacterized. The record is from RefSeq and is a predicted model, not a curated record. The transcript has 3 exons. Lineage: Eukaryota; Metazoa; Chordata; Actinopteri; Salmoniformes; Salmonidae.
UGGUUAUCGGUUAUCGGACCGGGGGACUGGUUAUCGGACCGGGGGACUGGUUAUCAGACGGGCCGACAGGUUUAUUAAAGGGCUUUUUUUGUGGAUUAGCAGACUUCUCUUCCGCCAUGUAGUCUGUCAAACCAAUAGGAGUAAAUACAUUCCUGGAAUAGUCUUCUGUUGUCAUACAGAUCAUUAGGAUGUUGCCAUUUUAUAUGUGGACUAGGUUGAAUGGCAGGCAGUCUGUUUAGUCAGGAUCGUACUCUGACAGGUUGAAUAGCAGGCAGUCUGUUUAGUCAGGAUCGUACUCUGACAGGUUGAAUAGCAGACAGUCUGUUUAGUCAGGAUCGUACUCUGACAGGUUGAAUAGCAGACAGUCUGUUUAGUCAGGAUCGUACUCUGACAGGUUGAAUAGCAGGCAGUCUGUUUAGUCAGGAUCGUACUCUGACAGGUUGAAUAGCAGACAGUCUGUUUAGUCAGGAUCGUACUCUGACAGGUUGAAUAGCAGACAGUCUGUUUAGUCAGGAUCGUACUCUGACAGGUUGAAUAGCAGACAGUCUGUUUAGUCAGGAUCGUACUCUGACAGGUUGAAUAGCAGACAGUCUGUUUAGUCAGGAUCGUACUCUGACAGGUUGAAUAGCAGACAGUCUGUUUAGUCAGGAUCGUACUCUGACAGGUUGAAUAGCAGACAGUCUGUUUAGUCAGGAUCGUACUCUGACAGGUUGAAUAGCAGACAGUCUGUUUAGUCAGGAUCGUACUCUGACAGGUUGAAUAGCAGACAGUCUGUUUAGUCAGGAUCGUACUCUGACAGGUUGAAUAGCAGACAGUCUGUUUAGUCAGGAUCGUACUCUGACAGGUUGAAUAGCAGACAGUCUGUUUAGUCAGGAUCGUACUCUGACAGGUUGAAUAGCAGACAGUCUGUUUAGUCAGGAUCGUACUCUGACAGGUUGAAUAGCAGACAGUCUGUUUAGUCAGGAUCGUACUCUAUGAUCCUUCUGACAGGUUGAAUAGCAGACAGUCUGUUUAGUCAGGAUCGUACUCUGACAGGUUGAAUAGCAGACAGUCUGUUUAGUCAGGAUCGUACUCUGACAGGUUGAAUAGCAGACAGUCUGUUUAGUCAGGAUCGUACUCUGACCGGUUGAAUAGCAGACAGUCUGUUUAGUCAGGAUCGUACUCUGACAGGUUGAAUAGCAGACAGUCUGUUUAGUCAGGAUCGUACUCUAACAGGUUGAAUAGCAGACAGUCUGUUUAGUCAGGAUCGUACUCUGACCGGUUGAAUAGCAGACAGUCUGUUUAGUCAGGAUCGUACUCUGACAGGUUGAAUAGCAGACAGUCUGUUUAGUCAGGAUCGUACUCUGACAGGUUGAAUAGCAGGCAGUCUGUUUAGUCAGGAUCGUACUCUGACAGGUUGAAUAGCAGACAGUCUGUUUAGUCAGGAUCGUACUCUGACAGGUUGAAUAGCAGGCAGUCUGUUUAGUCAGGAUCGUACUCUGACAGGUUGAAUAGCAGACAGUCUGUUUAGUCAGGAUCGUACUCUGACAGGUUGAAUAGCAGACAGUCUGUUUAGUCAGGAUCGUACUCUGACAGGUUGAAUAGCAGACAGUCUGUUUAGUCAGGAUCGUACUCUGACAGGUUGAAUAGCAGACAGUCUGUUUAGUCAGGAUCGUACUCUGACAGGUUGAAUAGCAGACAGUCUGUUUAGUCAGGAUCGUACUCUGACAGGUUGAAUAGCAGACA